RNA transcript from Fragaria vesca subsp. vesca, 624 nucleotides. RefSeq lists it as uncharacterized. The record is from RefSeq and is a predicted model, not a curated record. The transcript has 2 exons. NCBI's taxonomy places the organism in Eukaryota, Viridiplantae, Streptophyta, Magnoliopsida, Rosales, Rosaceae.
AUUUUCCCAAAUCCCAAAACUCUAACCAUGGCUUUUCGCGGUGGAGCUUCCCUGUCAAGAUCUCUGAUCUCCGCCGCAAGAACCUCCGCCGUCCGAUCAUCUCCGUCGCUCGCAUCCCUUCCUCGCUCUCCUCCCCUCCAUAAUCUCGCCUCCGCCACUCGCCGGAGCCUCUUCUCUCUCCCCGCCAAUGUGGGACAGCUGGCCUGCGCUCAGUCGCUGCUGCCGCUCCACAGCGCCGUCGCCUCCGUUCGUAUGACCAGUCACAUCUCCGGCGAAGCGCGCGCUUUCUGCGAGCUGUCUCAGGGUUCGUGACUAAUUGUACUUGAGCAUACUUGGGUUGGAUCAACACAGCAAGAGUUGCUGCAUUAGGUGGGGCUAGUAGUGUGUCCAAGAAGGGAGGAUUCCAUGCUCAUUAUCUUGAUAAGGUUGCAUAGGAAGUGAUUUCAGAGUGUAGUGAUAAGGUUUUUUUCACAACUAUUUUGUACUUUUCGUUCCAUUUGACUUGUAGAGGCUGUUAUUUUUAGAUGACAAGAUCAUACAAUUUACUUGUCUGAUCUUCUUUUCUCCUUCGUAUUUAUUGGGUCUAACUCGUGAGAUUCAAAGAGAAAUAAAUUUAUUAUGUUC